Molecule: small RNA, 2286 nt
Filed under: Pan troglodytes (chimpanzee)
Lineage: Eukaryota; Metazoa; Chordata; Mammalia; Primates; Hominidae
Description: processed transcript
Source: RNAcentral
CCGGCCCUCUCAGGACGGGCGGGGCGUGACAGGCUUCUUGCCUCGUCCAGCGGGCCAGGGUCAUUGGGAUGGCUGCACUAGUGACCUGCGUGUCUCUUCCUUUCCACGCGCAUGUGCGUCUGCGUGUGUGUGAAAAGUGGGCAAGCAGUGGACGUGCUCCGUGUGCGACAAGAAGUACGUGACCGAGUACAUGCUGCAGAAGCACGUUCAGCUCACACACGACAAGGUGGAGGCGCAGAGCUGCCAGCUGUGCGGGACCAAGGUGUCCACCAGGGCCUCCAUGAGCCGACACAUGCGGCGCAAGCACCCCGAGGUGCUCGCGGUGAGGAUCGAUGACCUGGACCACCUCCCGGAGACCACCACCAUCGACGCCUCCUCCAUCGGCAUCGUCCAGCCUGAGCUGACUCUGGAGCAGGAGGAUUUGGCCGAAGGGAAGCACGGGAAAGCUGCCAAGCGAAGUCACAAGAGAAAGCAGAAGCCAGAAGAGGAGGCGGGUGCUCCGGUGCCCGAGGACGCCACCUUCAGCGAAUACUCAGAGAAAGAGACGGAGUUCACAGGCAGCGUAGGCGACGAGACCAAUUCCGCAGUACAGAGCAUUCAGCAGGUAGUGGUGACCCUGGGUGACCCAAAUGUGACCACACCAUCGAGCUCAGUCGGCCUGACCAACAUCACCGUGACCCCCAUCACCACUGCGGCCGCGACUCAGUUUACCAAUCUCCAGCCGGUGGCCGUGGGGCACCUUACCACCCCUGAACGCCAGUUACAGCUGGACAACUCAAUCCUGACCGUGACCUUUGAUACCGUCAGCGGCUCUGCCAUGUUGCACAAUCGCCAAAAUGACGUCCAGAUCCACCCCCAGCCGGAAGCCUCGAACCCACAGUCUGUGGCCCACUUCAUCAACCUGACGACCCUGGUCAACUCCAUCACGCCCCUGGGGAGCCAGCUUAGUGACCAGCACCCGCUCACAUGGCGGGCAGUGCCCCAGACUGACGUCUUGCCACCCCCGCAGCCGCAGGCACCCCCACAGCAGGCGGCCCAGCCCCAGGUGCAGGCGGAGCAGCAGCAGCAGAUGUACAGCUACUGAGCUGCGUUCCGGGAGACUCGGGGCAAGAACUGCAGAGGGAUGUUUGGGAUUUGUUUAGAUGUGUUUGCUGGAUACCAAACAAACAAAAAGUCAUACAUUGCAAUGUAAGGUUGACUUAGCUUUGCAGAGUAUCUCCAGAUCCCCCGCCAGCAACCAUUACGGUCUGUCAGCUUAACUCUAGAAGGGACCUCUGGCAGGCCAGAGUUUUAAACUGGAUGGGGCUCCACCCCAUGCCUUACCAAGGCAGAGUGGAGUCGGUUCUUAUACAACUAUGGGCUGAAACCAUACGUGAGGCGUGCUGAGCCGCACCUGAUCCUGCAACCUUCGAGGUCAUCACGGUCAUCAUGUGCAAGGGGUCACGUGAGGUCACUGACUCCGGCUCAAAAGGCAUCUUAGUAAUAUCCGUGAAUCGAUUUCCAAUAGAGUUUUUUUUCCUUUUUUUUUUUUUAACUUUAUUUCAAACAUACAUUAUGUGUUCAAGACUGUUAUGGCCAAUAUUGUGUUUUAGUUUUAUGUUAACAUGAUAAAGUCAUGUGCACUGUAGGACCAUCGGUCCCUGUCCACCCUUCACAGCUGCCCAGAUGCAGAGGGUUGCGCGGCUGUGUGUGAGGAGUGAGCCUCCCUGCUGCCCCCAGGGGCUCCUCCGGGUUGUCUCAGGAUUCUCUGCAAUCCAAAUGUAUCCAUUCUGGCUGAAGCCCAGCCAGAAUCCCGAGUGGAAGAAACGGGGGAAAAUUCAUAUUUUCCUUCUGUUUAAACUUCAAUUCCAAAGGUGCACAGAUGUAUUCAUAAAGGAAGACAUUAGAUCCAGCCAUUGUGGCCACCAGGCUCUGUGGACCCAUCUCAGUGGAGAAUUUGUUUUGGACCCGUGGCUCCGUGCAGCUGUGGACUUGAGUGCCAUCCACUGGUGUGAGUCUUGCGGGGAGGCCACAGGAAAACGUUCUGUGCCAAGUGCCGCCUCGCUGUGUCCGGCAUGGGACUGCGCUGGAGAGUCCGGCGUGGAAGGCAGACCUCCUGUACCUCUAUCGUUCCCAUUUGUGGCAUCCAAAGGCGGAAGGCUCAUGGCUUCCCCACUAGAGGCGGCGUCUUGGGCUUUCCCAUUGGAUUGUUUUAGGCAUUAAGACUGUUUGGAGAUGUUGGCUGUAUUUCCUGUCACAUCAGGUUGUAUGAUGAUGAAUAAAAGGUGCUGUGACCCGUGUUUUCAA